GAUAGGUCUUCUAGAAAACCCUUCGGCAUGCUGAAAGAUCUACCAGUCAUGAUUAAUGGAGUAGAAGUGCCUACAGACUUCGUGGUGAUGGAUAUGGAAGUAGAGCAUAAGGAUCUCUUAAUACUGGGAAGACCCUUCUUAGCUUCGGUGGGAGUAGUGAUAGAUGUCAGGGAAGGGAAAAUAGGUCUCAACCUUUGAAAGCACAUCAAGUUGCAGUUUAACAUCAACAGAACUCCACAAGGGUCAACAGAAAAUGGAAGAACCUCUGGAAAUGAUAGAGUGAUCUCAAGAGAAGAAUAUGAGACUGAAAGAGUGAAAGAAUUUAAAAAGAGGUCUGAUAAGCAAGAUGAAACUAUAGAGAAGCUAGCCCACACUGUUGAGGAACUUAUAAGUAAGCUGAAUCAGUUGCAGAAGGAAGCUCAACCUAAAGGCGGGAUCGACACUAUCCCGAGAAAGAAGUUCACUUCAAGAUGGUCUGAAGAGAUAGAUUACCCUCCAGAAGAGAAAGAAGCAUAUUUUGAAGAGAGGGGAAUUGAGUAUUCUGCUGCAGACCUCUCCAAGGAGGACGCUGAGUAUGAUGAUGGUAUCAGAGAGGAUUAUGCAGACCCUCUCUACAGUUCAUUUUCUUCUUGAUAAGUGUGAGGAGUCAAGCUAGAGACUUAAAACAAGCUCACUUGGGAGGAAGUCCCAUGAUUAUCCUUGUAAAUAAUUUUUACUUUCUCAUUAUUUUUGAUUUGUUGUAGUUGUGUUUGUCGUUCUCAGGAAAAAAAAAAAAAAAAAAAAGGAGUACGUGAAGGUAGAGUAAAAAUUCAAAACUUUUACUCUACUGAGGGCCUAGAGAUCGAGCACAUUGGUCGAGUAUGGAUGAUGUUUAAAACUUAAAAACUUUUAAAUCAUCAUUUUACUCGACCAACAGGAGCUACAGAGUCUUACAGAGAGUUCAUCAAGUUUACAGCAAAUUUUAGGAUUUCCUGAAACUUUCCUAGUGAAGAAAGAGUAAUGAUUCAGAACAAAGAGACAAGCGAGGGACCCACUGCUGCACCCUAUGUCUCCCACGCUCCUAACCAACAGACAAGAAAUCCAACUCCUUCUUCUCACACCCACUCGACCCCCUCACCUUAUCCCAUCUCUACACUCCACUCGACCUCGGCGACAUCACCCUCCUCACUUAUCACUUACUCGACUUUGUUAUCUCCACCUCACCUAUCAAACUCGACCCAUCCUCAUUCAUCAUCACCAACAAAACAACUCUCAUACUCCCAACCACUCGACCUCCUCACCACCCUCUUCAUAUACUCGACCUCAUCUUUCUCCAAACACCAAACUUUUCACAACUCUCUCAUCUCCCAUCGUCGCUCAUUGCAAUUCAAGUCCUCAAGUGUUCGUCACAAUCACUCGACGUCUACCCCAAGACCAUCACUCGACCGCCGCAGCUCACUUCUUCUCCAAAGCCACCACCGACUUCUCUUCUUCCGCGAGUUCAACAUCACUCGAGUUCUCAUCACGAUUGUCAUUCUCACAAGCUUUACUCGAUCUCUUCACCACCAUCUUCAUAACCGAGUCACUCGAUUCAACAAACGCACUCGACCGCUGCACCACCUUCUCCUCCGUCCAAGCCGCACCACUUGGCCGCUUCAUCUCUCUAGCCCAUACUUCACUCGACCACAGUCCCACUUCACCACCUCUCCUUCAUAGCCACUUCACUCGAUUCACUGCAUCUCUCUCAUCAUAGCUCACUCCAAUUAUCACCAAGUACUCGAUUUCAAAUCAUCAUCAACUUCACCGCUUUACUCCAUUCACUCGACUUCACGGCAAGAGCACAUCCGCCUUUCAAGCUCACAUUUAUCACUCGACUUCCUCAAGCUCAUUAGAUUCACCACCAAAACAACAUCACUCGACCGCGAGUUCACCAAACCGAAAAAAAAGAAGAA
This 1931-nucleotide small RNA is filed under the name Arabidopsis thaliana (thale cress). RNAcentral describes it as "ATSL031240". The record is from RNAcentral. Lineage: Eukaryota; Viridiplantae; Streptophyta; Magnoliopsida; Brassicales; Brassicaceae.